Vespa velutina is the source of this 1261-nucleotide long non-coding RNA. RefSeq lists it as uncharacterized. The record is from RefSeq and is a predicted model, not a curated record. The transcript has 2 exons. NCBI's taxonomy places the organism in Eukaryota, Metazoa, Arthropoda, Insecta, Hymenoptera, Vespidae.
CGCAUCGUAUAUCUUAUCAGCGGAUAUACGGGUAGUCCGUGUAAAAGUUUCGUUCAUUUAUCGCGUAUUGCCAUGUGAGUUGUGUCGUGGAAACGAUAUGCAACUUUAACUCUUCGCGAGCCGUCGGUUGUUUCGAGUUCGGUACGGAAGUUGUGCGACGGGAAACACGUCGAUUUCUUUCCAUUACGUUUUAACUCGCUAAGAAAUAACUGAAACUUUAAACCUGUACGUUAGGUUAUGUCCUAGUCUAAGAGAAGGCAAAUGAUCGUUGGUGCAAUGCUUUUAUGGUAUUGAGAUAAGUAAAGUAACGUGUAAGAUUAGAGAAAUAGCAUAUAAGGAUUGAAAAGAGAAAAUUUUCACAAUCUCUUUAAAGAUUAUGAUGAUGAUGAUGAUGAUGAUGAUGAUGAUGAUGAUGAGGAUGAUCCUUUCCGUGAUUAUUUAUAUACCAAUAAAUGAUAUAUAUAUAUAUAUUAAUGUUAAUAAAUUGAUAUAUAUUAUUAUGUAUGUAUAGCGAUCGUUAAAGUUAUAAAGUGUUAAAAAUGUCUGUGGAAAUAUUUAUUUGCUUUACAUUAUCUUAGAAAAUAUUUGAAAUAAAAUAAAUCAAUACGCAAUAAAUAAUAUUGAUAGGUGUCGAAGGUAAAAAAUUAAAUAAAUAAACGAAUAAAUAAAUAAAUAAAAAAGAAAUGAGAAAACGUGCAAUGAAUGUCGUAAUUAAAUAAAAAUAAUGAAAGAAACGUACCGUAUGGCGAAGCACGUUGAAAUCCAGCGCCAUCAUAAGCACGCCAUGAGGACAUCAUCGCGACAUUCUGAGCAUAAAAGGGUGCAGCCGCUGCGAGGGUAGAAUGGGGAUGUGCCGUAUGAGGAUGGCCAGCAUGAGGAUGAGCAUGACCCGUGUGUGGACCCAUCGUUGCACUGGAAGCACUCGUGUGACCAGCCAAUGCAUGGUGGGCAGCGUACGUUUCGACGCCAUGUUGCCAAGACGCCGUUUUCUCCCUUCAAAAAUCAUAUUUGUCUUUAAGAUUGGUGAAGCAGAACCGGCAAAGGAAUGAUAUUGGGCUGCCGUGGCUGCAGAAGGGAUUGCUGGUCUGGACGAAGGUACGUAAACGGGGGCUUGCAGUUGUUGUCCGUGUUGCUGUUGUUGUUGCUGAGAUUGUUGCUGAUAGUCGGAGCCUGCGCCGUACCCGCCACUUCCGCCCCCGUGGAACAUCCUUCCCGAGAGCUACGACCACGGCAUCUGUCAGAAUAAAACAUUUUUAUUUUU